UUAACUUAUUUGUAUUUUCACUCAGACUUCAAUCUUCAGACAGAGUUCGAGGUGUCUUCGGCGGGCGCGGGCCCGGGGGCGGAUGCCCCCCGGCGGCCGUGAGGCGGGCCCGCCGAAGCAACAAGGUACGAUAAACACGGGUGGGAGGUUGGACCCAGAGGGCCCUCACUCGGUAAUGAUCCUUCCGCAGGUUCACCUACGGAAA
Molecule: unclassified non-coding RNA, 205 nt
Filed under: uncultured fungus
Lineage: Eukaryota; Fungi
Description: sequence contains ITS1
Source: RNAcentral